GGGCAGGUGGUGGAACUGGCAGACACAAGGGACUUAAAAUCCCUCGGCCGCAAGGCCUUGCGGGUUCAAAUCCCGCCCUGCCCA
RNAcentral lists this transfer RNA (84 nucleotides) under Elusimicrobiota bacterium. RNAcentral describes it as "Elusimicrobia bacterium (groundwater metagenome) tRNA-Leu". It matches the Rfam family "tRNA". From Rfam's summary of the family: Transfer RNA (tRNA) molecules are approximately 80 nucleotides in length. Their secondary structure includes four short double-helical elements and three loops (D, anti-codon, and T loops). The record is from RNAcentral. Lineage: Bacteria; Pseudomonadati; Elusimicrobiota.